This 274-nucleotide ribosomal RNA is filed under the name uncultured bacterium. Its description in RNAcentral is "partial 16S ribosomal RNA". It matches the Rfam family "Bacterial small subunit ribosomal RNA", at positions 523 to 796 of the family's 1533-position model. The record is from RNAcentral.
AUACGAAGGGGGCUAGCGUUGCUCGGAAUUACUGGGCGUAAAGGGCGCGUAGGCGGACAGUUUAGUCAGAGGUGAAAGCCCAGGGCUCAACCUUGGAAUUGCCUUUGAUACUGGCUGUCUUGAGUUCGGGAGAGGUGAGUGGAAUGCCGAGUGUAGAGGUGAAAUUCGUAGAUAUUCGGCGGAACACCAGUGGCGAAGGCGACUCACUGGCCCGAUACUGACGCUGAGGCGCGAAAGCGUGGGGAGCAAACAGGAUUAGAUACCCCGGUAGUCC